CGGGACGGGUGAGUAAUGUCUGGGAAACUACCUGAUGGAGGGGGAUAACUGCUGGAAACGGUAGCUAAUACCGCAUAACGUCGCAAGACCAAAGAGGGGGACCUUCGGGCCUCUUGCCAUCGGAUGUGCCCAGAUGGGAUUAGCUAGUAGGUGGGGUAACGGCUCACCUAGGCGACGAUCCCUAGCUGGUCUGAGAGGAUGACCAGCCACACUGGAACUGAGACACGGUCCAG
Molecule: ribosomal RNA, 233 nt
Filed under: uncultured bacterium
Lineage: Bacteria
Description: partial 16S ribosomal RNA
Rfam family: Bacterial small subunit ribosomal RNA
Source: RNAcentral